AGCGCCACUUCUGAAAGAAAGGCUCACGACAACUGGGUAAGUUUUUUUUUUUUCUUUCCUUGCUUUUGGACAUAAUCUGCCAGGUCAGGACGUGGAUGUAUUUUUCUCCCCCACAGCUCUGUGUUUAAGCCUCGCAGAGGGAGAUGCAAGAGAAGAAGGCUGCCUACAAGCAGCACAGGUAGGUAAUUGUGAUGGACAUUUCUAAGGAUGUCUUUGUUUUAAGACAAAGCUUUGAGUAUCUAGUAAAGAACUUGGUGUUUUAAUUCUUAUUUAAGUUCAUUCUUUCUCUAUCUCCAAGAUAGGAAAUGAUUGAAAAACAGAGAGUGCUGGAGAGACACAUUAGUCAGGAGCCAGCUAGUGGACAACCAGGCAUAGAGAAUCAUCCCCAAAGAGGACCCAGAGUGCCUGCAUUUGCAGACAGACACAGUGGCAUGUGGUGACAGCAGGUUAUCCUCAUGGCUUCCCUUCACACCCCAGCUGUCCUCAGGAUUCAGUAGAAGGGAGAUUUUUUGGCACUGACACUGCUAUUUUGAAAUCUGGAGGAAAGAAAGGUGCCAGGGACUGUCACCUGCUGCAUGGGGUUGGUGUUGGUGUUGGUGUUUUUGUCCAUCAUAUUAAUGCAUUUUGAAACUUUUCUUCCUUCUGCUCUGCAGGUCAAUAUGGCUUUGGGAGGGCCCCUUUUUCAGGAUUGCCCUACUUGCUCUACUGCAUGGCUGGCUCUUCAGGACCAUUUGUGGGCUGCCAGACACCUCCUCUGCCUGGGUGGCCUCUGGGAACACGACCACUGCCUCCAUGCACACCACUUGGACAAGCUGAAAUUUGAAGAGGCCCCUGAGCUCUGACAGCCAUGCUGUGGCUCCUACAUAACUUGGAAAAGUAUCCAAUACAUUUUACGCUGCCUGCCCAGUGCUGCCUCAUCUGUCUCUAAUCUUCUGUAGUGUUUCCCCUAAUAAAGGUUUGCAGUCCUAUCUGUUUGGGCGUCUGUUUUCUGGAGGACCAGAUGACCCCCCGGUGUACCAGGUAUGAUUCCUCAUACACUGUUCAAACCCAGGCAGAUAUUGCAGUGCUGGCUGCAGAAGCAGGGUUGCCCUUUGGGUAGUGUCGACUGGGAGGGCCCCAAGGGGGCUUUCUGGGGUGGGGAAAUAUCCCGUAUCAAGCCAUGAGUGGAGAUUGUGCUCAUUCAUUUUAGAAAUAGUCAUCGGGCACCUGAUGCCUGCCAGUCACAGGGGUUCCUUGUGAUAAGAUGGACAGGAAUGUAUCCCCAU
RNAcentral lists this long non-coding RNA (1265 nucleotides) under Pan troglodytes (chimpanzee). RNAcentral's name for it is "lncRNA (ENSPTRG00000054320.1)". Lineage: Eukaryota; Metazoa; Chordata; Mammalia; Primates; Hominidae. The record is from RNAcentral.